This 253-nucleotide ribosomal RNA is filed under the name uncultured bacterium. RNAcentral describes it as "partial 16S ribosomal RNA". It matches the Rfam family "Bacterial small subunit ribosomal RNA", at positions 524 to 776 of the family's 1533-position model. The record is from RNAcentral.
UACGUAGGUGGCAAGCGUUGUCCGGAUUUACUGGGCGUAAAGAGCGCGCAGGCGGUCGGAUAAGUCGAAUGUGAAAGCCCCCGGCUCAACUGGGGAGGGUCAUUCGAUACUGUUCGACUCGAAGGCAGGAGAGGGAAGUGGAAUUCCCGGUGUAGUGGUGAAAUGCGUAGAUAUCGGGAGGAACACCAGUGGCGAAGGCGACUGCCUGGCCUGUUCUUGACGCUGAGGCGCGGAAGCUAGGGGAGCAAACGGG